RNAcentral lists this long non-coding RNA (575 nucleotides) under Fukomys damarensis (Damara mole-rat). RNAcentral describes it as "lncRNA (ENSFDAG00000026965.1)". The record is from RNAcentral. Lineage: Eukaryota; Metazoa; Chordata; Mammalia; Rodentia; Bathyergidae.
GCCGCAAUCAUGACACCGAAUCGGUGAGAAGCUCGGUGGGGUGGCACACUUCGGGUGUGUGCCGGUAUGGCAGGUCCUGCUCCCCCCUUAACAGCCCCCACCCUCCGAGCGUCACCGGGGCUGGCACAGGACCCACGGUGCCCACGCCCAGAUCUGCCAACAGCCCAACGCCACCUGUGUCGCAGUGGUGACGCAGCAGUGUGGUCUGCGCUGUCGUGCUGCUCACACCUGUCCUGCUCAUCCUCAGCCAGGGCUGACGGCCUGGUCUGUGGGCGCCUGGCGGGCGGUCUGCCUUGGUUUGUCCACCUCCGCUGGUUUCUCCCGUUCUGCAACACGGUCUCAUUUCUCACCACGCGAGUCAUGAGCAUCUCUCUCAUUCGGAUCCUGCCUUUCCAAGUGAAGUGGCCCAGCUCGGAGAGGUGGCAUCUACGGGCACCUUGCAGUCUCACGGAAGAGGUUCCCACCACCACCCCCAGAUGCAGGGCAUCGUCUGCCAAGCAACACUGCCGUGUACUCAGGAGUGGCCACAGAUUCAGAGCAACCCGAGCUGGGGUCCCCGCGGCAGGGCACCGGGC